Myotis myotis is the source of this 127-nucleotide long non-coding RNA. RefSeq lists it as uncharacterized. The record is from RefSeq and is a predicted model, not a curated record. The transcript is spliced from 3 exons. NCBI's taxonomy places the organism in Eukaryota, Metazoa, Chordata, Mammalia, Chiroptera, Vespertilionidae.
CUGCAUUCAAGAAAACGACUUCUGCUACAUCCAACAUUGACUUCAUCUUUUAUCCAGAUUUAUGAAAAUAUGUGAAAUUUCCUCUGAUUAACCCCAUACAAUAUAAUCAUCGGUCCGUCUAGAUCAG